Molecule: ribosomal RNA, 253 nt
Filed under: uncultured bacterium
Lineage: Bacteria
Description: partial 16S ribosomal RNA
Rfam family: Bacterial small subunit ribosomal RNA
Source: RNAcentral
UACGAAGGGGGCUAGCGUUGCUCGGAAUGACUGGGCGUAAAGGGCGCGUAGGCGGAUGGCACAGUCAGAUGUGAAAUUCCCGGGCUUAACCUGGGGGCUGCAUUUGAUACGUGUUGUCUAGAGUGAGGAAGAGGGUUGUGGAAUUCCCAGUGUAGAGGUGAAAUUCGUAGAUAUUGGGAAGAACACCAGUGGCGAAGGCGGCGACCUGGACGGACACUGACGCUGAGACGCGAAAGCGUGGGGAGCAAACAGG